UUUAACCGAUAUCAGAAAAAU
RNAcentral lists this non-coding RNA (21 nucleotides) under Caenorhabditis elegans. The record is from RNAcentral. Lineage: Eukaryota; Metazoa; Nematoda; Chromadorea; Rhabditida; Rhabditidae.